Molecule: ribosomal RNA, 254 nt
Filed under: uncultured bacterium
Lineage: Bacteria
Description: partial 16S ribosomal RNA
Rfam family: Bacterial small subunit ribosomal RNA
Source: RNAcentral
CGUAAGGACCGAGCGUUGUCCGGAAUCAUUGGGCGUAAAGGGUACGUAGGCGGUUUCUUAAGUUAGAAGUCAAAGGCUAUAGCUCAACUAUAGUAAGCUUUUAAAACUGGGGAACUUGAGAGAUGGAAGGGAAAGUGGAAUUCCUAGUGUAGCGGUGGAAUGCGCAGAUAUUAGGAAGAAUACCGGUGGCGAAGGCGACUUUCUGGCCAUUAUCUGACGCUGAGGUACGAAAGCGUGGGUAGCAAAACAGGAUU